This 520-nucleotide ribosomal RNA is filed under the name Chrysomyxa rhododendri. RNAcentral describes it as "eukaryotic LSU rRNA". It matches the Rfam family "Eukaryotic large subunit ribosomal RNA", at positions 86 to 603 of the family's 3401-position model. Lineage: Eukaryota; Fungi; Basidiomycota; Pucciniomycetes; Pucciniales; Coleosporiaceae. The record is from RNAcentral.
ACGGCGAGUGAAGAGGGAAAAGCCCAAAUUUGUAAUCUGGCUCUUUUUAUAAGGGUCCGAGUUGUAAUUUUGAGAACUGUUUUCCGUGCUGGACCAUGUACAAGUCUGUUGAAAAACAGCAUCAUUGAGGGUGAUAAUCCCGUAUAUGAUAUGGACUACCAGGGCAAUGUGAUACAGUCUCUAAGAGUCGAGUUGUUUGGGAAUGCAGCUCAAAGUGGGUGGUAAAUUCCAUCUAAGGCUAAAUAUAGGUGAGAGACCGAUAGCAAACAAGUACCGUGAGGGAAAGAUGAAAAGAACUUUGGAAAGAGAGUUAACAGUACGUGAAAUUGUUAAAAGGGAAACAUUUGAAGUUAGACUUGUUAUUGUUGGUUCAGCUCUUUUUUUUAAGGGUGUAUUCCGAUGGUUAACAGACCAGCAUCAAUUUUUGGGUGUUAGAUAAGGGUCUUGAGAAUGUAGCAGCUUCGGUUGUGUUAUAGAUCUUGACUUGAUAUAAUGCUUAGGAUUGAGGAACGCAGUGAGC